UACGGAGGGGGCAAGCGUUGUUCGGAAUUAUUGGGCGUAAAGGGCGCGUAGGUGGCCCUGUAAGUCAAAGGUGAAAUCCCUCGGCUCAACCGAGGAAUUGCCCUUGAAACUGCAGGGGCUUGAGGCCGGGAGGGGGUAGCGGAAUUCCCAGUGUAGCGGUGAAAUGCGUAGAUACUGGGAGGAACACCGGUGGCGAAGGCGGCUACCUGGACCGGUUCUGACACUGAUGCGCGAAAGCGUGGGUAGCAAACAGGAUUAGAUACCCGAGUAGU
Molecule: ribosomal RNA, 272 nt
Filed under: uncultured bacterium
Lineage: Bacteria
Description: partial 16S ribosomal RNA
Rfam family: Bacterial small subunit ribosomal RNA
Source: RNAcentral